AGGAUAAACGCUGGCGGCGUGCCUAACACAUGCAAGUCGAACGUCCUACGCAAGUAGGGAGUGGCGGACGGGUGAGUAACACGUGGGCAAUCUACCUUUCGGUGAGGAAUACCGGUGAGAAAUCGCCGACAAUACCGCAUACGCUUCGCAAGAAGCAAAGUCGCAAGACGCCGGAGGAGGAGCCUGCGCCCGAUUAGCUGGUUGGUGGAGUAAUGGUCUACCAAGGCGACGAUCGGUAGCUGGUCUGAGAGGAUGAUCAGCCACACUGGGAUUGAGAACGGCUCAGACUCCUACGGGGGGCAGCAGUGAGGAAUUUUCGUCAAUGGGGGAAACCCUGAACGAGCAACGCCGCGUGCAGGAAGACACUUUUCGGAGCGUAAACUGCUUUUCUCGGGGACGAGUAAGGACGGUACCCGAGGAAUCAGCCCCGGCUAACUACGUGCCAGCAGCCGC
This 453-nucleotide ribosomal RNA is filed under the name uncultured bacterium. RNAcentral describes it as "SSU rRNA". It matches the Rfam family "Bacterial small subunit ribosomal RNA", at positions 26 to 518 of the family's 1533-position model. The record is from RNAcentral.